GAUGAACGCUGACAGAAUGCUUAACACAUGCAGGUCGAUGGGGAAGUGGUGCUUGCACCAUGGUAACCAUGGCGGACGGGUGAGUAACGCGUAAGGAACUUGCCUGCGGGACUGGGAUAACAGCAGGAAACUGCUGAUAAUACCGGAUAAGGUCAUUAAGCUGCAUAGCUUAGUGAUGAAAGGAGACGCCUGCGGAGAGCCUUGCGUCCUAUUAGCUAGUUGGAGGGGUAACGGCCCACCAAGGCGAAGAUAGGUAGCCGGCCUGAGAGGGUGGACGGCCACAAGGGGACUGAGAUACGGCCCUUACUCCUACGGGAGGCAGCAGUGGGGAAUAUUGGACAAUGGGGGCAACCCUGAUCCAGCAAUUCUGUGUGCACGAAGACGGUUUUCGGAUUGUAAAGUGCUUUCAGCAGGGAAGAAGGAAGUGACGGUACCUGCAGAAGAAGCGACGGCUAAAUACGUG
RNAcentral lists this ribosomal RNA (463 nucleotides) under uncultured bacterium. RNAcentral describes it as "partial 16S ribosomal RNA". It matches the Rfam family "Bacterial small subunit ribosomal RNA", at positions 28 to 507 of the family's 1533-position model. The record is from RNAcentral.